GACGAACGCUGGCGGCGUGCUUAACACAUGCAAGUCGAACGCUGAAGCUUGGUGCUUGCACUGGGUGGAUGAGUGGCGAACGGGUGAGUAAUAAGUGAGUAACCUGCCCUUGACUCUGGGAUAAGCCUGGGAAACUGGGUCUAAUACUGGAUACGACAUGUCACCGCAUGGUGGUGUGUGGAAAGGGUUUUACUGGUUUUGGAUGGGCUCACGGCCUAUCAGCUUGUUGGUGGGGCAAUGGCUCACCAAGGCGACGACGGGUAGCCGGCCUGAGAGGGUGACCGGCCACACUGGGACUGAGACACGGCCCAGACUCCUACGGGAGGCAGCAGUGGGGAAUAUUGCACAAUGGGCGGAAGCCUGAUGCAGCGACGCCGCGUGAGGGAUGACGGCCUUCGGGUUGUAAACCUCUUUCAGCACGGAAGAAGCGAAAGUGACGGUACGUGCAGAAGAAGCGCCGGCUAACUACGUG
This 472-nucleotide ribosomal RNA is filed under the name uncultured bacterium. RNAcentral's name for it is "partial 16S ribosomal RNA". It matches the Rfam family "Bacterial small subunit ribosomal RNA", at positions 28 to 507 of the family's 1533-position model. The record is from RNAcentral.